AUGUACCACUUCACACGCUGCGGUUCUGAGCCGCCGUCCGCACCCGCCUGACAGCUGCUCGCUAUGUUUUGAGCC
This 75-nucleotide small RNA is filed under the name Xanthomonas nasturtii. RNAcentral describes it as "sX9 sRNA". It matches the Rfam family "Xanthomonas sRNA sX9". Lineage: Bacteria; Pseudomonadati; Pseudomonadota; Gammaproteobacteria; Lysobacterales; Lysobacteraceae. The record is from RNAcentral.